This 1189-nucleotide long non-coding RNA is filed under the name Suricata suricatta (meerkat). RNAcentral describes it as "lncRNA (ENSSSUG00005020310.1)". Lineage: Eukaryota; Metazoa; Chordata; Mammalia; Carnivora; Herpestidae. The record is from RNAcentral.
CUUGGGUCCUCUUCCUCCUGAGGCUGACAUUACAAGAGAACUGCAGACCAGCCCUGCGUUACCUGCCUCCUUGUCCACAUCUGAGGUGGAGGCACCUCGAUGAGCAUCGAUGCCAGGCCAGCAGGCACCCACAGGGGGACCAUCUCCUGGCUCCCUGGGACACUCACACCUCAGAAGCAAAGAGACUAAUGCUGCCUGAGCAGGGGAAGAGGAAAAUGUCUGUGACGGGUUGCUCUUGAGAACUCCAAGACCCAGGAAUAAAUGUGGAGCAGAGGAAAUUUUCAGGGAACUGGAGUUUCCAAAAUGUUGAGUGUGGUUCAGUGGGCUACACGUACAAGUAAUGGUGUUUGACAUGGGAGUUCCUUCCAUAUGUGAAGAGAACAGGUAUUUAUGUACAUAUAUGGCUAUGCUUAUAAUUUAAGGGGUCAGGAUGGGGUAGAAAAAAGAGUUUCUGAAAGGAAAAUUGACCAGAGAUAAAUAGCCCCAAAGGGCAGCAGCACACUGGGUGACAACUACUGGUAGAAAUUCAACAUCUAAAACAUUUUCUGAGGUUAUAGCAUUGCUUCUCUUGACAACUUUUCAGUGAAGCUUACUUUCCACCUGGCUUCGUGCAUUUAGCUGGGUGAACUUGAACAACCAAAGUGACAAAUCCAGAACUCAUAGCUUUGGGCUGAUGUUCUCUUCAGUUCCACAGAGAUGCCUGCUGCCGAAAUCCUAGCCUGGAGGUUAUGCUGGCUUACCGUGGCCCAGUGCAACUGAGAAAAAACGGGGCUGGUGUGCAUGGGGAAAAGUCUUGAGGAGCCUUGUAAAUCCUGUCACAUACUAUCAGAGGACUUUGGGAGAAAUUACAUGAUGUCAUGAAGAGGAAGAAGAGCUAGACAAGCAAUUUGAAAGUAGCUUGGAUAUCUAAGAGGAAGAAAGGUAGCACUUAGAGACAGCUCUGAUAAAACUUCCUCCACAGUUACAUUUUCUUCAGAACUACUGGGAACACAUUGUAGAUAUUUUUAAAAUAAAAUUUAAGUAGGAAUAGAUGAAAUAAGAGAAUACUAGUUUUGAGCUAUCCUGAAAAAACUUGUCCAUGGGGAUGGGCUAACAGGAUGGUAGUGAAAAGGAUUUGAAGAUAAAUUUUAAAUGUGAAGCUCCUUAAUUUGACAAUAAUAUUAAAAAGCCGUGGUAAAAAGAAGGGGCA